This 760-nucleotide ribosomal RNA is filed under the name uncultured Alphaproteobacteria bacterium. RNAcentral's name for it is "bacterial SSU rRNA". It matches the Rfam family "Bacterial small subunit ribosomal RNA", at positions 38 to 847 of the family's 1533-position model. Lineage: Bacteria; Pseudomonadati; Pseudomonadota; Alphaproteobacteria. The record is from RNAcentral.
GGCGGCAGGCCUAACACAUGCAAGUCGAACGAGACCUUCGGGUCUAGUGGCGGACGGGUUAGUAACGCGUGGGAACGUGCCUUUCACUACGGAAUAGUCCCGGGAAACUGGGUUUAAUACCGUAUACGCCCUUCGGGGGAAAGAAUUUCGGUGAAAGAUCGGCCCGCGUUAGAUUAGGUAGUUGGUGGGGUAAUGGCCUACCAAGCCUACGAUCUAUAGCUGGUUUUAGAGGAUGAUCAGCAACACUGGGACUGAGACACGGCCCAGACUCCUACGGGAGGCAGCAGUGGGGAAUCUUGGACAAUGGGCGCAAGCCUGAUCCAGCCAUGCCGCGUGAGUGAUGAAGGCCUUAGGGUCGUAAAGCUCUUUCGCCAGGGAUGAUAAUGACAGUACCUGGUAAAGAAACCCCGGCUAACUCCGUGCCUGCAGCCGCGGUAAUACGGAGGGGGUUAGCGUUGUUCGGAAUUACUGGGCGUAAAGCGCACGUAGGCGGAUUGGAAAGUUGGGGGUGAAAUCCCAGGGCUCAACCCUGGAACUGCCUCCAAAACUACCAGUCUAGAGUUCGAGAGAGGUGAGUGGAAUUCCGAGUGUAGAGGUGAAAUUCGUAGAUAUUCGGAGGAACACCAGUGGCGAAGGCGGCUCACUGGCUCGAUACUGACGCUGAGGUGCGAAAGUGUGGGGAGCAAACAGGAUUAGAUACCCUGGUAGUCCACACCGUAAACGAUGAAUGCCAGUCGUCGGAUAGCAUGCUAUUCGUGAC